Molecule: non-coding RNA, 1149 nt
Organism: Callithrix jacchus (white-tufted-ear marmoset)
Lineage: Eukaryota; Metazoa; Chordata; Mammalia; Primates; Cebidae
Source: RefSeq, a predicted model, not a curated record
UAAUUUUUUGUAUCUUUAGUAGAGACGGGGUUUCACCAUGUUGACCGGGAUGGUCUCGAUCUCUUGACCUCGUGAUCCACCCGCCUCGGCCUCCCAAAGUGCUGGGAUUACAGGCUUGAGCCACCGCGCCCGGCCGCAAGGUCCGAUUUUUAAAUCCAAUUAUAACCUCAGCUAGAAUCACAUGUUACCAGUGAUAAGAGAAAUGGUAUCAAGCCACUAAGGGGUACUGCGGCUUCUUACAGUCGCUGGAAGAAUCUCAGAUGCAUAUUGCCGAGUAAAAGACAGUAGUCUGAAAAGGCAGAGACUGUAAUGACAGUACAGCGCCCAGUGGGUGCCAGGAUGGGGGAAGGGAAGCUAAAUGGGGACACACAGGGGACUUUUCAGGCAAUGAAAUGAUUCUGUGGGCACAGGAAUGGCUUCUGGACUGGGGUGCCCUACAAAGCCGCACAGGAACCUGGAGACUCACGAAAGGGUAAAGAAGUUGGAUCAUUUACAGUAAAAGUUAAAGGCUUUCUGACUCUGAAAGUUCUACGUGCUCACUGUAAAAAGCAAAGUGACUGACAGGAGGCACAGACCUGCGCUGCCCUGAAGUCUGUGGAGUGGCCAGAGGACGUUUGAGACGGUAUGGCUCAGGUCCAGUGUCAUCGAAACGGCCUGGCUGGAGGCCUUCUGCUCGUCUGGGGUGAUGAUUGGGUGAGGACCAGUUCCCAGGAUGAAAGAGUGUCUCCCAGCCAGCCCAGGGCAUCCCACAAGCUUCUGAAAACAAGAAUCGAGAAGAGAAAGGCAUCUUACAUCCCAAAGCCGGAGCCAGGGAGCCAGGCCUCCAGAAGGUGGGGACGGCCACGUGGGGACAGAGGGUCCCUGUCUUAACAGGAGGGUAUGGGCACAGGCUGCGGCUUGCCCAGCUAAUGCCUGCUGUGGACCUGGCUGAGUGCGAGGCACAGGCCGCAUGAAGAUGACACAUGAAGGAAACACAAUAAAACUUGGACAAUAAACAGAAAUAAAGCUUAGAAUGGCACAUGUACUGAGUAUCUGCUUUGUCAUAGCCUUUUUACAUACAGCACCGAUUACUAUCACAAUAAACCCGGAAAGUAUUCACGGCCCCACUAGGAAACCCAAGGCUCAGAAAGUUCCAGAACGUCCACAAGG